CCUACGGGAGGCAGCAGUAGGGAAUAUUGCUCAAUGGGGGAAACCCUGAAGCAGCAACGCCGCGUGGAGGAUGAAGGUUUUCGGAUUGUAAACUCCUUUUGUUAGAGAAGAUAAUGACGGUAUCUAACGAAUAAGCACCGGCUACCUCCGUGCCAGCAGCCGCGGUAAUACGGAGGGUGCAAGCGUUACUCGGAAUCACUGGGCGUAAAGAGCGCGGAGGCGGGAUAGCAAGUCAGAUGUGAAAUCCUAGGGCUUAACCAUAGAACUGCAUUUGAAACUGUUAUUCUAGAGUAUGGGAGAGGUAGGUGGAAUUCUUGGUGUAGGGGUAAAAUCCGUAGAGAUCAAGAGGAAUACUCAUGGCGAAGGCGACCUGCUAGAACAUAACUGACGCUGAGGCGCGAAAGCGUGGGGAGCAAACAGGAUUAGAUACCCCAGUAGUC
Molecule: ribosomal RNA, 440 nt
Filed under: uncultured bacterium
Lineage: Bacteria
Description: partial 16S ribosomal RNA
Rfam family: Bacterial small subunit ribosomal RNA
Source: RNAcentral